GCAGACACCCCCACCGAGUCCUCUGGAAACCUAUCCGAGGAGAUGUACACCCUGACACUCAUCCCUGUCCCAGCUGCAAGCACCUAUUCACUCCCUUCACCAUCGGCUGCAUCCCAGCCAGGGAAGAGGAAGAAGGGUUUGCCCACAGAGCGCUCCUCCUCUCCAAGACUUGCUACCUCUGUAGC
This is a long non-coding RNA of Gymnodraco acuticeps, 185 nucleotides long. RefSeq lists it as uncharacterized. The transcript is spliced from 3 exons. Lineage: Eukaryota; Metazoa; Chordata; Actinopteri; Perciformes; Bathydraconidae. The record is from RefSeq and is a predicted model, not a curated record.